This 85-nucleotide ribosomal RNA is filed under the name Falsibacillus pallidus. The record is from RNAcentral. Lineage: Bacteria; Bacillati; Bacillota; Bacilli; Caryophanales; Bacillaceae.
UUCCCAUACCGAACACGGAAGUUAAGCUCUUCAGCGCCAAUGGUAGUUGGGGGUUUCCCCCUGCAAGAGUAGGACGUCGCCGGGC